This 270-nucleotide ribosomal RNA is filed under the name uncultured archaeon. Its description in RNAcentral is "partial 16S ribosomal RNA". It matches the Rfam family "Archaeal small subunit ribosomal RNA", at positions 477 to 747 of the family's 1478-position model. The record is from RNAcentral.
CAGCUCUUCGAGUGGUGUCCAUGAUUAUUGAGCUUAAAGCGUUCGUAGCCUGUUUGGUAGGUUCCUGCUCAAAUCCGGUCGCUUAACGGUCGGACUGGUAGGAAUACCGCCUUACUUGGGGACGGGAGACGGCGACGGUAUUCCGUAGGUAAGGGUGAAAUCUAAUGAUCUACGGAGGACCACCAGUGGCGAAGGCGGUCGUCGAGAACGUGCCCGACGGUGAGGGACGAAACCCAGGGGAGCAAAUCGGAUUAGAUACCCGAGUAGUCC